This 726-nucleotide ribosomal RNA is filed under the name Flavobacterium sp. RNAcentral's name for it is "bacterial SSU rRNA". It matches the Rfam family "Bacterial small subunit ribosomal RNA", at positions 46 to 775 of the family's 1533-position model. The record is from RNAcentral. Lineage: Bacteria; Pseudomonadati; Bacteroidota; Flavobacteriia; Flavobacteriales; Flavobacteriaceae.
GCUUACACAUGCAGUCGAGGGGUAUGGUUCUUCGGAGCCAGAGACCGGCGCACGGGUGCGUAACGCGUAUGCAAUCUACCUUUUACAGCGGGAUAGCCCAGAGAAAUUUGGAUUAAUACCUCAUAGUAUAUAGAGUUGGCAUCAACACUAUAUUAAAGUCACAACGGUAAAAGAUGAGCAUGCGUCCCAUUAGCUAGUUGGUAAGGUAACGGCUUACCAAGGCUACGAUGGGUAGGGGUCCUGAGAGGGAGAUCCCCCACACUGGUACUGAGACACGGACCAGACUCCUACGGGAGGCAGCAGUGAGGAAUAUUGGACAAUGGGCGCAAGCCUGAUCCAGCCAUGCCGCGUGCAGGAUGACGGUCCUAUGGAUUGUAAACUGCUUUUAUACGAGAAGAAACACUCCUUCGUGAAGGAAUUUGACGGUAUCGUAAGAAUAAGGAUCGGCUAACUCCGUGCCAGCAGCCGCGGUAAUACGGAGGAUCCAAGCGUUAUCCGGAAUCAUUGGGUUUAAAGGGUCCGUAGGCGGUCUUGUAAGUCAGUGGUGAAAGCCCAUCGCUCAACGGUGGAACGGCCAUUGAUACUGCUGGACUUGAAUUAUUAGGAAGUAACUAGAAUAUGUAGUGUAGCGGUGAAAUGCUUAGAGAUUACAUGGAAUACCAAUUGCGAAGGCAGGUUACUACUAAUUGAUUGACGCUGAUGGACGAAAGCGUGGGUAGCGAACAG